This 1004-nucleotide unclassified non-coding RNA is filed under the name Polistes fuscatus (common paper wasp). RNAcentral describes it as "glutaredoxin-related protein 5, mitochondrial, transcript variant X2". The record is from RNAcentral. Lineage: Eukaryota; Metazoa; Arthropoda; Insecta; Hymenoptera; Vespidae.
CGUAAACAGAUAACGAGCGUUCUUCUUACUAAAACAGUUGUCUCUAACCUCUAGCCAACAAAAUUUCGUAAAAAAAUUAAUUCAAGUUAUUAUUUAAUAUUAUUACUAUUUUAAUAAGUGAAAUAAAAUGUUGAACGUCGGAGGAAAGUUGGCAAGAAUAAUUGUUCGAAGUUAUGCUACGAAAUCCAAUGAAAUUGGAAAUCUUGUUAAAAAAAAUAAAGUUGUUGUCUUUAUGAAAGGCAUACCGGAAGAUCCAAGAUGCGGUUUUAGUAAUGCUGUAGUUCAGAUAUUUAGAAUGCACGGCGUUACUUAUGAUGCUCAUGACGUUCUUCAAGACGAAGAUCUUAGACAAGGUAUUAAAGAAUAUUCAAAGUGGCCAACAAUACCGCAGGUAUUUAUCAAUGGAGAUUUUGUUGGCGGCUGCGAUAUUUUAUUAGAAAUGCAUAAAAAUGGUGAACUAGUAGAAGAAUUGAAGAAAGUAGGUAUUAAAAGCGCCUUGUUGGAGAAAGAAGAUGCUUCUGAAAACGAAGCUACAAAAUCCAAAGAUUAGAAAGUGAUCUUCUAUUUAUUGUAAAUAAGACCGAUGUGUGUAAACUGUUUUUCUCAUAAAACAAACGUUUUUUUGUUAUAAUAAAUAUUCUUCUUUUCAAUUCUUUUAGCUCGCAUCAGUAUAGUCCUUGCGCGAAAAGGAUGGAAACAAGAUGUGAAUUUGAAUUUAAACAAAAAUUUAUGCCUUUGUCUAUUCGAUACGUAGAAAUCACAUAUUCUGUAGUUCUUUUCUUAAAAUUUUCCCAGCUGAACUUUUAGGAAUUUCGUUGAUGAACUGUACAUGUCCUAUUUGUUUGUAAUUGGAAACCUGUUUAGCAACAAAGUUUUUUACGUCUUCUGGAUUAACGGUGCUACUUGAAAACCUUUUACUUUGAUCAAUUCUUUGGAGCGUCCUUCAAUGUAGAUGUAUCCUAGGUAAAUUUUAAAUUGAUCAAUAUAAUAAUUAACAUAAGGAU